RNAcentral lists this long non-coding RNA (1844 nucleotides) under Homo sapiens (human). RNAcentral's name for it is "non-protein coding lnc-LMBRD1-3:6". Lineage: Eukaryota; Metazoa; Chordata; Mammalia; Primates; Hominidae. The record is from RNAcentral.
ACUGCAACCUCCAUCUCCCAGUUUCAAGAAAUUCUCCCCCCUCAGCCUCCCGAGUAGUUGGGAUUACAGGCGCCCGCCAUGAUGCCUAGCUAAUUUUUGUAGAGACAGGGGUUUGACCAUGUUGGCCAGGCUGGUCCCAAACUCUUGACCUCAGGUGAUCCGUCCGCAUCAGCCUCUUAAAGUGCUGGGAUUAUAAGGCAUGAGCCCCUGCGCCUAGCCCUGAAUGGCUUCUUAAAAAGAGAUGAGUUGGCAGAUGUGUCUCAAUUUGUUGGGGACGUAUGUGGCAGCACAGAGCAUCCAAGAGAAAUGUACAGCCUUUGGUUAUGGUUCAUCAUUAUUUUUGGUUUUUGGGAUGGAGUCUAACUUUUUUGCCUAGGCUGGGGUGCAGUGGCGCGAUCUUGGGUCACUGCAACCUCCACCUCCCGGGUUCAAGUGAUGCUCCUGCCUCAGCCUCCUGAGUAGCUGGGAGUACAGGCACCUGCCACCACGCCAAGCUAAUUUUUGUAUGUUUAGUAGAGACGGGGUUUCACCAUGUUGGUCGGGCUGGUCUCGAACUCCUGAUCUCAAGUGAUCCACCCACCUCGGCCUCCCAAAGUGCUGGGAUUACAGGUGUGAACCACCAUGCGCGGCCAAUUCAUCAUUUUUAAUGGGCAGUAGAGGAGAAUUAGGACCAGUGGGAUCCCCAGGCCUACCAGGUAAACUGGGUGUAGUCGGUGAACCGGGUCCAAAGGGUGAACAGGGUGCCUCUGGUGAAGAAGGUGAAGCAGGAGAAAGGGGGGAACUUGGAGAUAUAGGAUUACCUGGCCCAAAGGGAUCUGCAGGUAAUCCUGGGGAACCUGGCUUGAGAGGGCCUGAGGGAAGUCGGGGGCUUCCUGGAGUGGAAGGACCAAGAGGACCACCUGGACCCCGGGGUGUGCAGGGAGAACAGGGUGCCACCGGCCUGCCUGGUGUCCAGGGCCCUCCGGGUAGAGCACCGACAGAUCAGCACAUUAAGCAGGUUUGCAUGAGAGUCAUACAAGAACAUUUUGCUGAGAUGGCUGCCAGUCUUAAGCGUCCAGACUCAGGUGCCACUGGGCUUCCUGGAAGGCCUGGCCCUCCUGGUCCCCCCGGCCCUCCUGGAGAGAAUGGUUUCCCAGGCCAGAUGGGAAUUCGUGGCCUUCCGGGCAUUAAGGGGCCCCCUGGUGCUCUUGGUUUGAGGGGACCUAAAGGUGACUUGGGAGAAAAGGGGGAGCGUGGCCCUCCAGGAAGAGGUCCCAACGGUUUGCCUGGAGCUAUAGGUCUCCCAGGUGACCCAGGCCCUGCCAGCUAUGGCAGAAAUGGCCGAGACGGUGAGCGAGGCCCCCCAGGGGUGGCAGGAAUUCCUGGAGUGCCUGGACCCCCGGGACCUCCUGGGCUUCCCGGUUUCUGUGAGCCAGCCUCCUGCACCAUGCAGGCUGGUCAGCGAGCAUUUAACAAAGGGCCUGACCCUUGAAAGGCUUACUGCUGCAUGGCUGUCUGCAUGAACCACGCCUGGUGAAGGAGCCUGGGUGAGAAACACCAUCCAAAGCUGGGGCAAAGAUGAUUACCUUCAGCAUGAUUACAAUGUAUUACCUUCAGUAUGAUUACAGAAGUCCUACUUGACAAUCACAUAUAGAAGAACGGUGCUAUUCAGUAAGUUCUCUUUCCUUUCCCUUGGAGGGAAGACAGCAGAGUCAUCAGUUAAAAAAAAAAAAAGAAAACCAAACACCUCCCUUGAAUAAAUUUAUACUCCUGUUCCCAGGAUCUUGAGCUUUAGUGUGCUAUACCUAUGUGUCUUAUCGUGGGCCACUGUGCCAAUAAACAAAAACAACUGUUUGGUUUACCUC